CGGAGAGGGAGCCUGAGAAACGGCUAUCACAACUAAGGUUGGCAGCAGGCGCGCAAAUUGCCCAAUAGCAACACAUCGCUGAGGCAGCGAAGAGAAAUAGCAACUUCAUGCGGCAUUGCCGUGUGAAGAUUGCCAUGGACGAUAUCUAAACCUGUCGGUGAGUAUCAAUUGGUGGACAAGUCUGGUGCCAGCACCCGCGGUAAUUCCAGCACCAAUAGCGUAUAUUAAUGCUGCUGCUGUUAAAAAGCUCGUAGUUGGAUCAAGAGUCGGAGAGUGCACGGUGGCCCUUCUAGUUCACGAGGCUCCGGUUUCGGGGACUGGUUGGGAUCAACCCCGUGCGCCAAACUCUCCGCUCUAACAGGCCGAAGCGGUUCCCUGUGAGUAGGCCCCUUUAUUGGGGUUGAAAGCGACUUCGCAUCUACCAUAUGCAUACGGGACGUCGGCCAAAGUUACUGUGAGCAAACCAGCGUGUCCAAAACAGGCUUUCGCCUGAAUGUUCGAGCAUGGAAUAACAAGGGAUCGAUUCUCUCGGUUCUUUUUGUUGGUUUUUAACCCGAGAAGGAGUAAUUCAGGCCACGGUGUCUGAGCUGGGUUCCCCUGCACUUCGGUGUAGGCCCCAGUUAGGCCGUGUCCUUACGGGAUAAAUAGGGACUGACGGGGUCGUACGUACUUCCACGUCAGAGGUGAAAUUCUCAGAUCGUGGGAAGACGAACUUUUGCGAAAGCAUUCGACAAGAAUGUCUUCAUUAAUCAAGAACGAGAGUGUGGGGAUCGAAGAUGAUCAGAUACCGUCGUAGUCCACUACUGUAAACAAUGCCGUCUCAGGAUUGAGAAGUAACGUUUUGACCUUCACAGCACUAACCCCUGAAACGAGAAAUCAAAGAUUAUGGGUUCAGGGGGGAGUACAUUCGCAAGGCUGAAACUUAAAGGAAUUGACGGAAUGACACCACAAGGCGUGGAGUAUGCGGCUUAAUUUGACUCAACACGGGGAAUUUUACUAGGUCAGGACAAUGUAAGGAUGACAGAUUGAGAGCUCUUUCUCGAUCCAUUGUGUGGUGGUGCAUGGCCGCUCCUGGUUGGUGGAGUGAUUUGUCUGGUUGAUUCCGUUAACGAACGAGAUCUCGACCCUUAAAUAGGUGCCCGUGUCGAUUGUAGUUUCAUCUCCGCUCGCUUGCGAGAUUGGAGUGGGACGAGACUGCGGGAAUACUUCUUAAGGGGACUGUGUGCGUCUAUAGCACGCGGAGGAGCGAGCCAAUAGCAGGUCUGUGAUGCUCCUAAAUGUCCUAGGCUGCACGCGCACUACACUGAUGCAAUAAACGAGUCUGAGUGCCUUCUGGCAACCUACCUGGAAGCGGGUGGGAAAUCUUUUGAACUUGCAUCGUGAUGAGGAUCGACGAUUGCAAUUAUUCUCCUUGAAUGAGGAAUCCCUACGUAGGCACAAGUCAUCAGCUGGUACUGAUUACGUCCCUGCCAUUUGUACACACCGCCCGUCGUUGGUACUGAUUGGCUGUAGGGUAGAGAUCGGCGGAAUUCGGCCAGUUGGGGUGACUCUUCUGGCUGGGCAAAACCUAUCAAUAUUCUGCAGCUAGAAGAAGCAAAAGUCGUAACAAGGUAACC
RNAcentral lists this ribosomal RNA (1616 nucleotides) under uncultured euglenozoan. RNAcentral's name for it is "SSU rRNA". It matches the Rfam family "Eukaryotic small subunit ribosomal RNA", at positions 384 to 1804 of the family's 1831-position model. Lineage: Eukaryota; Euglenozoa. The record is from RNAcentral.